Long non-coding RNA from Capsicum annuum, 413 nucleotides. RefSeq lists it as uncharacterized. The record is from RefSeq and is a predicted model, not a curated record. The transcript is spliced from 3 exons. Lineage: Eukaryota; Viridiplantae; Streptophyta; Magnoliopsida; Solanales; Solanaceae.
UUGUCUAGUUGGACUUAAUGAAUCAAUUGUAUUAAAUAUAUGAGCAACAUGCCAUGUUUGAAGUCAUGAAUUGUCUUCCAUUAGCAGGGUACAUUCUCGUGGAAAAUUGGUUCCAUCAAACUCAAGAAAGUGAUUUCUCCAGUGGGAGUUACUUGUAUAAGUUGAAUGAUUUUCUUGAUACAAAAACAAGCUAGGAAGCAAGCGCCGCGAAGGGUUGACAGGGCAGCUCGAUCGGCUGUUAAAAAAGAUGGCAGUAGACAGUUCUACUUUGAUUUGCUGGCUGAUUUUCCAACAAUCCUGGAACUUGAAACACUGUAUUUAUUGUGAUUCUUGAUUCUUGUAAGUCGAGGUCUAUACACCAAGUAACACUCUUAUUGUAACCAAUCAAAAUUUCAAUGAAUUAAGAUUAGAAA